GGGAAGAUCUUCAAUGUUGGUAGUUGAAGCUGAACUGUAAACUCAGUGAUAUUUAUCCUCGUGUGUUCAAUUCACACUCUUCUCA
Molecule: non-coding RNA, 85 nt
Organism: Pichia membranifaciens
Lineage: Eukaryota; Fungi; Ascomycota; Pichiomycetes; Pichiales; Pichiaceae
Source: Rfam